Non-coding RNA from Phrynosoma platyrhinos (Desert horned lizard), 72 nucleotides. NCBI's taxonomy places the organism in Eukaryota, Metazoa, Chordata, Lepidosauria, Squamata, Phrynosomatidae. The record is from the annotation of a GenBank genome assembly.
GCCAAUGUGGUGUAAUGGUUUGAGUGUUAGACUACUACUCUAGAGACCAGGAUUCAAGUCCCAGCUCAGCUG